This 122-nucleotide small nucleolar RNA is filed under the name Cricetulus griseus (Chinese hamster). RNAcentral describes it as "Small nucleolar RNA SNORA26". The record is from RNAcentral. Lineage: Eukaryota; Metazoa; Chordata; Mammalia; Rodentia; Cricetidae.
UUCUGUGACUCCAGACAGGAUCCAAGAAGGAGGUGUACAGUCUCCUCCAGGGGUUUUUUGGAGAGUUCCUUUACCCUUCUGUGUUAGCCUCUUAAAGUACCUUGACAACCUUAAAAGGGCAC